UACGGAGGGGGCUAGCGUUGUUCGGAAUUACUGGGCGUAAAGCGCACGUAGGCGGCCUUGUAAGUUGGGGGUGAAAUCCCGGAGCUCAACUCCGGAACUGCCUCCAAAACUACAAAGCUAGAGGAUGCGAGAGGAUAGUGGAAUUCCGAGUGUAGAGGUGAAAUUCGUAGAUAUUCGGAAGAACACCAGUGGCGAAGGCGACUGUCUGGCGCAUUUCUGACGCUGAGGUGCGAAAGCGUGGGGAGCAAACAGG
This 253-nucleotide unclassified non-coding RNA is filed under the name uncultured Parvularculaceae bacterium. RNAcentral's name for it is "contains 16S-23S intergenic spacer region". It matches the Rfam family "Bacterial small subunit ribosomal RNA", at positions 524 to 776 of the family's 1533-position model. The record is from RNAcentral. Lineage: Bacteria; Pseudomonadati; Pseudomonadota; Alphaproteobacteria; Parvularculales; Parvularculaceae.